GAACGCUGGCGGAAUUGCUUUACACAUGCAAGUCGAACGGUAACAGGUCUUCGGAUGCUGACGAGUGGCGAACGGGUGAGUAAUAUAUCGGAACGUGCCCAGUCGUGGGGGAUAACGUAGCGAAAGCUACGCUAAUACCGCAUACGAUCUAUGGAUGAAAGCGGGGAUCGCAAGACCUCGCGCGAUUGGAGCGGCCGAUAUCAGAUUAGGUAGUUGGUGGGGUAAUGGCCUACCAAGCCGACGAUCCAUAGCUGGUUUGAGAGGAUGAUCAGCCACACUGGGACUGAGACACGGCCCAGACUCCUACGGGAGGCAGCAGUGGGGAAUUUUGGACAAUGGGCGCAAGCCUGAUCCAGCCAUUCCGCGUGCAGGACGAAGGCCUUCGGGUUGUAAACUGCUUUUGUACAGAACGAAAAGGUCUCUAUUAAUACUAGGGGCCCAUGACGGUACUGUAAGAAUAAGCACCGGCUAACUACGUG
RNAcentral lists this ribosomal RNA (479 nucleotides) under uncultured bacterium. Its description in RNAcentral is "bacterial SSU rRNA". It matches the Rfam family "Bacterial small subunit ribosomal RNA", at positions 31 to 507 of the family's 1533-position model. The record is from RNAcentral.